AGUGAACGCUGGCGGCAUGCCUAACACAUGCAAGUCGAACGGUAACAGGCCCGCAAGGGUGCUGACGAGUGGCGGACGGGUGAGGAAUACAUCGGAAUUUGCCCAGUCGUGGGGGAUAACGUAGGGAAACUUACGCUAAUACCGCAUACGACCUAACGGUGAAAGCGGGGGAGUCGCAAGACCUCGCGCGGAUGGAUAAGCCGAUGUCGGAUUAGCUAGUUGGCGGGGUAAAGGCCCACCAAGGCGACGAUCCGUAGCUGGUCUGAGAGGAUGAUCAGCCACACUGGGACUGAGACACGGCCCAGACUCCUACGGGAGGCAGCAGUGGGGAAUAUUGGACAAUGGGGGCAACCCUGAUCCAGCAAUGCCGCGUGUGUGAAGAAGGCC
Molecule: ribosomal RNA, 387 nt
Filed under: uncultured bacterium
Lineage: Bacteria
Description: bacterial SSU rRNA
Rfam family: Bacterial small subunit ribosomal RNA
Source: RNAcentral